CCUACGGGACGCAGCAGUAGGGAAUCUUCCGCAAUGGACGAAAGUCUGAUGGAGCAACGCCGCGUGAGUGAAGAAGGGUUUCGGCUCGUAAAGCUCUGUUGGUAGUGAAGAAAGAUAGAGGUAGUAACUGGCCUUUAUUUGAUGGUAACUACUUAGAAAGUCACGGCUAACUACGUGCCAGCAGCCGCGGUAAUACGUAGGUGGCAAGCGUUGUCCGGAUUUAUUUGGCGUAAAGCGAGUGCAGGCGGUUCAAUAAGUCUUAUGUGAAAGACUUCCG
This 277-nucleotide ribosomal RNA is filed under the name uncultured bacterium. RNAcentral describes it as "partial 16S ribosomal RNA". It matches the Rfam family "Bacterial small subunit ribosomal RNA", at positions 338 to 607 of the family's 1533-position model. The record is from RNAcentral.